This 953-nucleotide ribosomal RNA is filed under the name human gut metagenome. Its description in RNAcentral is "bacterial LSU rRNA". It matches the Rfam family "Bacterial large subunit ribosomal RNA", at positions 1950 to 2897 of the family's 2925-position model. The record is from RNAcentral.
CCUAAGGUAGCGAAAUUCCUUGUCGGGUAAGUUCCGACCUGCACGAAUGGCGUAAUGAUGGCCAGGCUGUCUCCACCCGAGACUCAGUGAAAUUGAACUCGCUGUGAAGAUGCAGUGUACCCGCGGCAAGACGGAAAGACCCCGUGAACCUUUACUAUAGCUUGACACUGAACACUGGUCCUUGAUGUGUAGGAUAGGUGGGAGGCUUUGAAGCGUGGACGCCAGUCUGCGUGGAGCCAACCUUGAAAUACCACCCUUUAAUGGCUGGUGUUCUAACGUAGACCCGUAAUCCGGGUUGCGGACAGUGUCUGGUGGGUAGUUUGACUGGGGCGGUCUCCUCCCAAAGAGUAACGGAGGAGCACGAAGGUUGGCUAAUCCUGGUCGGACAUCAGGAGGUUAGUGCAAUGGCAUAAGCCAGCUUGACUGCGAGCGUGACGGCGCGAGCAGGUGCGAAAGCAGGUCAUAGUGAUCCGGUGGUUCUGAAUGGAAGGGCCAUCGCUCAACGGAUAAAAGGUACUCCGGGGAUAACAGGCUGAUACCGCCCAAGAGUUCAUAUCGACGGCGGUGUUUGGCACCUCGAUGUCGGCUCAUCACAUCCUGGGGCUGAAGUAGGUCCCAAGGGUAUGGCUGUUCGCCAUUUAAAGUGGUACGCGAGCUGGGUUUAGAACGUCGUGAGACAGUUCGGUCCCUAUCUGCCGUGGGCGCUGGAGAAUUGAGGGGGGCUGCUCCUAGUACGAGAGGACCGGAGUGGACGCAUCACUGGUGUUCGGGUUGUCAUGCCAAUGGCACUGCCCGGUAGCUAAAUGCGGAAAAGAUAAGUGCUGAAAGCAUCUAAGCACGAAACUUGCCCCGAGAUGAGUUCUCCCUGAGACUUUAAGUCUCCUGAAGGAACGUUGAAGACUACGACGUUGAUAGGUCGGGUGUGUAAGCGCAGCGAUGCGUUGAGCUAACCG